UACCUGCAGCUCUAGUGGUGUCCGCUAUUAUUGGGCCUAAAACGUCCGUAGCCGGCUUAUUAAAUGCCUGGGUAAAUCGUACGGCUUAACCGUACGAAUUCCGGGUAGACUGAUAAGCUUGGGACCGGGAGAAGCUAGAGGUACUCCUGGGGGUAGAGGUGAAAUUUUGUAAUCCUAGGGGGACCACCAGUGGCGAAGGCGUCUAGCUAGAACGGGUUUGACGGUGAGGGACGAAGCCCUGGGGGAGCAAACGGGAUUAGAUACCCCGGUAGUCCAGGGUGUAAACGCUGCUUGCUUGAUGUUAGUCGGGCUCCGAGCCCGAUUAGUGUCGGAGAGAAGUUGUUAAGCAAGCUGCCUGGGAAGUACGGCCGCAAGACUGAAACUUAAAGGAAUUGGCGGGGGAGCACUGCAACGGGUGGAGCGUGCGGUUU
RNAcentral lists this ribosomal RNA (431 nucleotides) under uncultured archaeon. RNAcentral describes it as "bacterial SSU rRNA". It matches the Rfam family "Archaeal small subunit ribosomal RNA", at positions 474 to 903 of the family's 1478-position model. The record is from RNAcentral.